AGAUGUAGGUGAACAUUUCCUGUGCAGACCUGCAGUCCCGGGCAUCGAACACCUGAGCCAGCCGAGGCAGCGGGAGAGGAGGGUGAGGAGAGAGACGGGGGGUCUUGAGUAUCAGCUCCAGAGGAGCUGCUGGUGAGGAGGCAGGGGCCAUGGUUCACUCCAUGGCGCCCUCCUGACCAUUGGCAGCCACACUGAUCCCUUCCUGCCCUGCUCUCUGACAUAUGUAGCACCAUCCGGGCUGCUUCUC
Molecule: long non-coding RNA, 247 nt
Filed under: Homo sapiens (human)
Lineage: Eukaryota; Metazoa; Chordata; Mammalia; Primates; Hominidae
Description: HSALNT0130748
Source: RNAcentral